This 4685-nucleotide long non-coding RNA is filed under the name Gallus gallus (chicken). The record is from RNAcentral. Lineage: Eukaryota; Metazoa; Chordata; Aves; Galliformes; Phasianidae.
UCACAAAAAAUGCUGCUUUUGAGUUUGUGACAAACUCCCAGCCUGCUUUACAAAUAAGGUGCUUGAAACCUGAUCCAAUUCUUGCUGGAGCAUCAGCUUACACAUUCCAGAACCACAUUCGGAUGGAGGUAGUAACGCAAGACAUACCGGCUGCUUCAGAACAAGGCAUUUUCUAACAGUUGAGCUAACAGAGGAGAAAGGAAAUAGAUUCUGGCACUGCUCGUCUUUAGGAGGAAGCAGACAUAAGAUGCGUAAACCUGAAGAGAAGCUUGGAAAGGCAGUGACUCCCUUUCGGGCACGGUGUGCCUGGAUCCAGGGUGGGCUCGCAGGGCCGAGAACACCCCGACGGGCUCUAGACAAAGGCAGGAGGAAGGCGCUGGGGCUGGGUGCCCCUAGGGCAGCACGCGAGGGCUGCGGGAAGGGAGCCAGGGCAGCGGGGACAGCGAAGGCGGCGGAGCGGGGGGAGGCGGCGGGGGAGGCGUGCCCGGGGCGGGGAGCGAGCUCGGGCGCACGCAGGCUCGGGAGGGAGCGCGGCGGGGGCCGAGGCGGGGCCGAGCAUCGCUGCGUGCGCUCGGGGGGAGCCGGGGGAGGGCCCGAGGAACCGCGCGACUGUGGGAGGGCGGCGUAGGAAGGGAAGGGGCCGAGGAGGCGGCCCUGACGGGGAAGGGCCCUCAGGGGCUCUCACCCGCUUCCCGAGGAACCGCGUGCGCGGCGGAGGCCGAGGCGGAGUCCCCAUUUCAAACAGCAGCCAAAGCCUCGCGGCGUGGCUGGGCUCCCGGCCACGGGCUCCGGCGGGAACAGGUUGAGACCUGGCCCAGCAGCAGCCCGCGGGGCCCUCGCUCUGGGAGGAGUCCGCCCCCGGGCCGCGCCGCCUCCGCCGGGCCGGGCUGGGCCGGGCCGGGCCGGGCCUCUCCGCUCCGCGCCGCCGCUUCCCUCAGGGCCGAGAGUCCCCGACGCCUCCCGCCCCCGCAGCCCCGCGGGGUGCCAGGCCUCGUGACUCCAUUAGCAAGGCCUGUGGCAUUUCCUGUCUGAGCUUCGCAGGCAGAGGACAGGCAGGCUGCUUCCAUCGGGUGGGGAAGGGACGGAGCCCGGUGCCCCAGCAGCUCCAACCUUUGUCUUGAGCGAACGGCCCAACCAACGCUUUGGACGCCCCUCGUGCUGGCUUGGUGCUGCGGCACAUCUGCAAGCGCUUAGCUGGCCCCGGCGCUGAGCUUCUUUCCCGGCCCUGUGAGCAGCCAGGAGGGGGGAGUGAGCUCGUCCCGGCUCCAGCUGCUCAGGACCGGCAGCUGCGGCCGAAGGUUGGGCACGGAGAGACUCUGCGGCCCCGGGGAGAGAAGAGAAAUGGAGAGAAAGAGCAGGUUGGGCAGCAGGAGGGAGCAGAAAAUGGGCCAGGGAGUGAGUCGGUAGGGAGGGCUGUGAAACAGCAGAGAGCUACAACUUGGUAGGAGAAAGCAGGAGAAAAUAAUGUUUGCACAAGCAAGGUCAUUCUUGGGAUGAGAUAUGUUAGAAACUGCGCUAUUUCCCCAUGUUUUUUAUGGUUUCUCAUACAGCCCAUAAUGACAUCACGAUACAAAAGCAUAUGUGAAGACUUUGAAAGAACAAUACAGCGAAGAGAAGUGUUCCACCGCUCUCUCCAUCCCAACCCCAGCUUUUUUUAGAUGAGCUGUAAUGAAUUCAGUACGUAAUUCCACUUUAAGUCCUGCAUGAACCCAUGAGCCUUUCUGUUGUUCCCUUUAGGAUCACUGCCAUAGAAGAGUGCAGUGGUACUGCUCUUACUGGUGAUAACAUCACCUCCAUAUCCCCUCUUAUCUUUUUUCCUCUUUUAGCUACAAUGAGAGGAUCUCAACUUUUUUCCCCCAAUAAGUUCUCCAGUGAAACAAAGGAAAAAACAAUGAAAGAAGAGGAUAGCUGAUAGAUUAAAAGCUCUACGUUGUUUGAAAAGGAGAACUAUGGAAAGGUUCUCAAUGCUUUCUCUGAAAAGCUGAGAAAACUUAUGCACGCUUAGUCAAGAUAUGACAAGAUUUGAUUACUCUCAGGAGAAAACAACUCUUUCAUCUCACAUACAUGAGAAACAUAACUUGACAAGUCAGAAGGGAAAUAUCUGGACAAACUGAUGCAAAACAAUACAGACCAAAGUAUUUAGUAGAAAGCAGACAAUCUCUGAUAGUACUAAGAUAGUAUUAUAAAGAAAAUAAUUGAAUUGUAACCACAAUGUGAUAAAGAUAUCAAAUUUUAGCUACAUGCUGAUGUUUUUUAUCCACCUACCUAGUUUCAGUAAACUAAAUGUUAACGCCAGAGUUAAAGAGAGCAAGUGAUAAAUGGGAGCUGAGAAAGCUGUGUCAGCACAUGAAACCUUAGCAGGUAAGGUAGUCUGCGAGCAAAAGCAGAAGUGGGGCAAAGGAGUUGGAGACAAAGCACAGAGCAAAACUGGAAAUAAAUGUCAACAGAACAAUCUGAUUGGGAAACUGAAAUGAAGGUGGAAACUGCUGUAAAAAAGAAAGAAAAAAGAAUUCUGCUGGUUUGAAAUGGCAGGUGACCGAAACCAAAAGGUAUUCCGAAUAUGUCCUCAGAGCUGCUGGAGUAAUGUGAGAUCUUACACCUGGUGAGACACUGCGGGGACCUGCUUGCUGAUGUAAUGACUACCACGUAUGACGGGAGAAAAUGAUGCAAACCAGCUCAGCACAUCUCUCCUAGGAAGGUGGAUCAGCACUGGCAGCCAGCAGAAACUUCAGCGUGGUAGACCUGAGGAGAUUUAGAAGCCCUGGCAGCCCUCUGAAAGUGUAAGCUCAUGGUUUAACCACAGUGGGCUUCACUGUGGCCUCGCUGAGCUGGGCCACGAUACAGGUUCAUCCUUUGCAUGCUGCCCUGACCUCCAUUCCUCGGCUUGGCACACAGAUGCAGGACAGACCCGGCUUCAGUCCGCAUGAGCUGCACGUGCACACCGGCUGUGCCCAUGCCACCGCUCAGCGGCUGCUGGAGCAGUGCUGGCAGCCAGCCCUGGCUAUCCGCAGCCCUCUGCUUCAGCAGACAGGCAGCUCUCCCAGGGCCUCCUUCGCUGGCACUGCCUGGUACCGGCUGCGUGAGCUGCGUGCCGUGCUGCUCUGCAGGCAGCCGCUGACCCUCCCAGCCCCCUUCCCGUGCUGGGCUGCGCUUGAUGCCUCCCGAGCUUUGCUGCUCCUUUCGCAGAGCCCCUGCUGGGCUGGCCAGACAUCCACACAUCGGCGGUGACGGGAAGGCUGCUGUAGAGUUGGACAGUGUUUAUAAAACCGCAGGAAUUAAUAGGAACUCAAUGGCUGAGAGCAAGGCUGAAACUGUGCUUUUAAAGACCAAAAGAAAAAAAAAAGUGUGAUUUCCAGUUUAUUUGUGCAGCUUUGAGCUUUGCAGAGGAUCUCAGGCCGUGACAUUUCCACAUUGCAAAUGAUUAUAAAAAAUGUGUUUUUAAAAUAGCUUUAAAGGGUCGAUGCUGUUACUACUUAUGUAGGUGAACUUGCCUUAGCAGGGGCUUGGACUGAAUGAUCUCCAGAGGUCCCCUCUAACCCCUGUGAUUCUGUGACUGUGAACAAGAGACAGAAAUCCACACAGAGUGAAGUUCCUCACUUCUGUUGAGUCACUGUGCUAUAAUGAUUUCCAGCCCACGGGAGGGUCUUCCCGAGAGAAUGUUUCAUCUGCACUGACGAGCACUGUCUCUCUCUGGAUGUUUGUAUGCGGUUUACUUCCACGUUUCUCAACCAGUGGGUUGCAAGCCUGCAGACAAAGAGGUUAGGACAGUCAGUCAGGAGGUUGCUUAAGCUUUGAAGCAAGUAGUUUAAGAGAGAUAGGAGUGAGUCCUGUCCCAGGCCCAAAACUGUGACGGCAAUGAAGCAUUUUCCACUACGCCCUGCUGUGUCGCUGCAGCGUUUUCUGUCUCUCCUUCUAGGGCCCUGGGGGCCAGAAAGCUGGGCGAGGAGAGCAGGAAAAUGUGCGCUUGCACUGCCGGUGUUGGGAGCCAAGCAGACAUGAGUCAGCCUUGAGCUGGAAGCUGUGCAGCUGUCGUCAGUGCAGUGCUGCUGCCGAGCCCUGUUGGGAGGCAAGGUGUGCUCAUCCAGCUCGUGCUGCACCAGCAUGACCCUGUGUGGUUGGGGGAAGAGUUUGGGCUGUGGUUCAGAGCUGGGACAGAGCUUGCUUGCCUCUGCCUGCCAAAGACAACGUGGACGUGCUCUGAGUCUGUGUUGUUUUUCUCAUAAUAAAUGUUUGAUUAAAGCUCAUAAGUUAUCCGUGUCUUUCUUUAAUUUGGCUCAGGAGUAGGGCAGGAGGCCUGUCUGUAAUGUACCGUUUCCUUUAAGCCCAACCUGGCAAAUUCUGACCACCUUUGAAAUAAGCAGCAUUGCGAAACAGUCCUGAGUGCUUCUGCAGAUGAGCACAUUCCUGCAGCAGAGCUCAGCCUAAAACUCCAGGAGCAGAUGGAAGAAAGGCUAAGGAAGGUAAUUAAAUGUGGCUGUUGCCUAAGAAGUAAGCCUGUUGUAGCAGCUCAGCUGAGCCCUGUAAGCCAGAUACAGGCUACAGCCUCACUUUGUGCAGUCUGCAGUCACAGCACUCUGAGUUUUAUAGAAUCACAGAAUUGUUUGAAUUGAAAGGAACUUUUGAAGGCCAUCUGAUCCAACUCCCCUGCAAUAACAGGGACACCUACAGCUCGAUCAGGUUUUCAG